Molecule: ribosomal RNA, 497 nt
Filed under: uncultured bacterium
Lineage: Bacteria
Description: partial 16S ribosomal RNA
Rfam family: Bacterial small subunit ribosomal RNA
Source: RNAcentral
GAUGAACGCUGGCGGCGUGCCUAAUACAUGCAAGUCGAGCGAACGGACGAGAAGCUUGCUUUUCUGAUGUUAGCGGCGGAAGGGUGAGUAACACGUGGAUAACCUACCUAUAAGACUGGGAUAACUUCGGGAAACCGGAGCUAAUACCGGAUAAUAUUUUGAACCGCAUGGUUCAAAAGUGAAAGACGGUCUUGCUGUCACUUAUAGAUGGAUCCGCGCUGCAUUAGCUAGUUGGUAAGGUAACGGCUUACCAAGGCAACGAUGCAUAGCCGACCUGAGAGGGUGAUCGGCCACACUGGAACUGAGACACGGUCCAGACUCCUACGGGAGGCAGCAGUAGGGAAUCUUCCGCAAUGGGCGAAAGCCUGACGGAGCAACGCCGCGUGAGUGAUGAAGGUCUUCGGAUCGUAAAACUCUGUUAUUAGGGAAGAACAUAUGUGUAAGUAACUGUACACAUCUUGACGGUACCUAAUCAGAAAGCAACGGCUAACUACGUG